Papaver somniferum (opium poppy) is the source of this 1289-nucleotide long non-coding RNA. RefSeq lists it as uncharacterized. NCBI's taxonomy places the organism in Eukaryota, Viridiplantae, Streptophyta, Magnoliopsida, Ranunculales, Papaveraceae. The transcript is spliced from 5 exons. The record is from RefSeq and is a predicted model, not a curated record.
AUUGAGGUGCUUUGAUGAGUUAUUUUUCGAAUUUUUUUAAGAAGAAAAACAUUAAGCACCCUAGCAAUUCUUUUUAGAGAUUGAAGAAGCCUAAUAUAUCAUAUGCUACAUAUACCGAUGAUAAUCCCAAAUUCAUUUUUCUUCCACUCAUGAAUAUUAAAUUCCUUUUUCUGAAUGCUAAGUUUUUUGUUGUUGGCAUCUCUUCCAAGAAGAAGUUUAAGUAAAAUCAUCCUCAUUAUAUAUAUAUAUGGCUUCAAAUCGACUCACAAAUAUCUCGAGAAGGAAUUGAUUGUGUUAGAUGGAUUGUUGAAAGAUCGUUCAGCUAUUUAGAGAGAUUUGUAUUAUUUUAUUUCUUCAAAAACCUAAAUUAUUAGACCUUGAAGCUUUUUGUGGUUUAAAGAAUUUGUUUUGCGGCAGUGUGGCUAUAUUUGUUUAUGGAUUAAUUUCUUCAUUCACCUCAGUAUUCUAGAGCCAAAUACAAUCUCAGAGUACAAAAACAAAACAAAAACAAAACUCAUCUUUUCUCCAACUCGCCACAACUACAAUGGUUGUUAGGCCUUCCGUAGCCAGGAUGCGGUAUCGAGUAAUAGACUUCCUCGACGUUUCCAACACCCUUAAGUUCACAACAAGUUAUGGAAAAGAUUGAAAGUGCAUAUAAAAUGUUGACCACCCCUUGAUCUACACCACCAAAUUGUGAGGAUAAUGGGGAUUCAUACCAUGUUAAGCAAUCUAUACAAGUUCCAACAACUGCUAAUCAGGUUGGUAUUCAGUACGCAAACUAUGAACAAGGAGUGUGGAAAUGCAAAUGUGGGAGUACUUUAUUUAGUCCUUGAUCACAAAAUUUGUCAAACCUAGAGAUAAAGAGAAGAGUCUCUUACUUUCUCUCUCUUUUUGUGAAAAGUUUGUGUUUUGGUUAUUAACACACAACUUUUAAUUUUACUUUUGGAUUUGGAUUUUUUCAGCAACUAUCCGUGAUUUUUUUCCAUUCCACAUGAGAUAAUAACAAAAUAAGUAAGUUUAAGGGUUGUGGUUAGUAUCUAUUCCACUAGAAAUAAAAAAUCUGUUGAUGGAAUUACUUAGGAAGUGAAGCUCAAAGAUAACACUGAAGUUCAUUGAGGGUUAUACACAUACUAACUAAAGGUGUGGAUUCAGCGCUAUCGUAGCUUUGUUCAUCCCCUUUAUCUUUUUAGCUCAUUUUAUUUAGAUUCUAUUUCCUGUAUUACUUGAUAUUUACUAGAAUAGUGUCCAAAUUUGUUAUCUCAAUCAACGGGAUUCUUAACCGAUGUACU